This 381-nucleotide ribosomal RNA is filed under the name uncultured eukaryote. RNAcentral's name for it is "partial 18S ribosomal RNA". It matches the Rfam family "Eukaryotic small subunit ribosomal RNA", at positions 592 to 975 of the family's 1831-position model. The record is from RNAcentral.
CAAUAGCGUAUAUUAAAGUUGUUGCAGUUAAAAAGCUCGUAGUUGGAUUUCUGGUUGAAGCGACCGGUCGGGCGUUGAUUCGUCUGCACUGGAGUCGGUUUUGGCCAUCCUCUAGGAAAGUGCGUCUGGUAUUAAGUUAUCGGGCGUAUGAUCCUGGUCUUUUACUGUGAAAAAAUUAGAGUGUUUAAAGCAGGCCUUCGCCUUGAAUACAUUAGCAUGGAAUAAUAAGAUAGGACUUUGGUCUAUUUUGUUAGUUUGCAGACCGAAGUAAUGAUUAAUAGGGAUAGUUGGGGGUAUUUAUAUUCCGAUGUCAGAGGUGAAAUUCUUAGAUUUUCGGAAGAUAAACUUAUGCGAAAGCAUUUACCAAGGAUGUUUUCAUUA